GAUGAACGCUGGCGGCGUGCCUAAUACAUGCAAGUCGAGCGAACAGACGAGGAGCUUGCUCCUCUGACGUUAGCGGCGGACGGGUGAGUAACACGUGGAUAACCUACCUAUAAGACUGGGAUAACUUCGGGAAACCGGAGCUAAUACCGGAUAAUAUAUUGAACCGCAUGGUUCAAUAGUGAAAGACGGUUUUGCUGUCACUUAUAGAUGGAUCCGCGCCGCAUUAGCUAGUUGGUAAGGUAACGGCUUACCAAGGCGACGAUGCGUAGCCGACCUGAGAGGGUGAUAGGCCACACUAGAACUGAGACACGGUCCAGAGUCCUGAGGGAGGCAGCAGUAGGGAAUCUGCCGCAAUGGGCGAAAGCCUGACGGAGCAACGCCGCGUGAGUGAUGAAGGUCUUCGGAUCGUAAAACUCUGUUAUUAGGGAAGAACAAAUGUGUAAGUAACUAUGCACGUCUUGACGGUACCUAAUCAGAAAGCCACGGCUAACUACGUG
Molecule: ribosomal RNA, 497 nt
Filed under: uncultured bacterium
Lineage: Bacteria
Description: partial 16S ribosomal RNA
Rfam family: Bacterial small subunit ribosomal RNA
Source: RNAcentral